UACAGAGGGUGCAAGCGUUGUUCGGAAUUAUUGGGCGUAAAGCGCGUGUAGGCGGCUUUGCAAGUCGGGUGUGAAAUCCCUCAGCUCAACUGAGGAAGUGCGCCCGAAACUGCAUGGCUCGAGUACCGGAGAGGAUGGUGGAAUUCCCCAAGUAGAGGUGAAAUUCGUAGAUAUCGGGAGGAACACCAGUGGCGAAGGCGGUUGCCUGGAGCUUUGCUGACGCUGAUGCGCGAAAGCGUGGGGAGCGAUCCGG
Molecule: ribosomal RNA, 253 nt
Filed under: uncultured bacterium
Lineage: Bacteria
Description: partial 16S ribosomal RNA
Rfam family: Bacterial small subunit ribosomal RNA
Source: RNAcentral